Peromyscus maniculatus bairdii (prairie deer mouse) is the source of this 436-nucleotide non-coding RNA. The record is from RefSeq and is a predicted model, not a curated record. NCBI's taxonomy places the organism in Eukaryota, Metazoa, Chordata, Mammalia, Rodentia, Cricetidae.
GGGAAAGGUCUCUGGAUUCUGCCAGUGCAACCACCAAAAGUGAAAGAAAACCUUGCCAACCACAGGUGUAAAAGAUUAUUUUAAGAAGUGAUGUGGUAAAUCUCAAGGGACUAUUUCCUGGGAAGGAUCAAGCUAGCAGAACACAGCCUAAAGUCUGCUGCCAGCUCUUGAGUGGCUCAACUGAAAUAAAAUGAAAUGAGGAUUCUCCGCUGUGAAUGAAAGUUUACAGGCUACUACAGGAGAGAAAUACAAUUUGACUCAAGAACCCUUCUGUAUUCAAGCCAGCAACAGUUUGUAUUAUCUUUUUUUCCUGCUUCUGAAGUAUGACUUUAUGCUUUGUCUCUACUCAAAGAAAACAGUCUAAUUCAGUUCAAGAUUACAGUGAUCCUUCUUCUUGUCUGCUGAUGUUAGCCCUGUUUUCAAAAAUAUCUGUAAA